Molecule: long non-coding RNA, 1538 nt
Organism: Epinephelus moara (kelp grouper)
Lineage: Eukaryota; Metazoa; Chordata; Actinopteri; Perciformes; Serranidae
Exons: 2
Source: RefSeq, a predicted model, not a curated record
AUGUAAAUUCAGCCAUUAUCUACUCACCCAUAUGCCGAGGGAGGCUCAGGUGAAGUUUUAGAGUCCUCACAUCACUUGCAGAGAUCCAAGGGGAGAGGAGGUAGCAACACAACUCCACCUAAUGGAGGCUGACGGCGCCCCAGAUUCAAACGUCCAAAAACACAUAAUUGAAACCACAAAAUAUCUCCAUACUGCUCGUCCGUAGUGAUCCAAGUGUCCUGAAGCCCCGACAUAAAAAGUUGUUUGGAAAAACCUCAUUUGAACUCUGUUUUUAGCCUCAUUGUAGCCUGUAGCUUUAACUGCCUCUCUGGGCACCGCGCUCACGUGUACGCUUGCACGAGACCAGCGAAAGCACGUGAACACACAUGAAUGCGGUGCCCAUGUCUCACGGUCUCGCACAAGCACACACACGUGAGCGCAGUGCACAGAGAGGCAAGUUACAGUGCAUCAGUGCAGGUAAAAAAAACAAACAUUUGGAUGUUACAUUUUUUGCUUCUGUGACCUUUAAAGGAUCAGAAAAUACCUGUGUGCCAACCGACCCUGGUCUCCCCUACUUCAAACUCUUUAAUACUCAUUGUAGCCCUCAUACAUGCACCGUGCACCAUGCACCAUGCACAUGCCUCAAUAUGUCAGCAAAAUCAAAAACUGGAGAGGUCAGCCAUGCCAUAAUGGUUGCUUCAAGGUGAUUGGACAAUAGCUGUUUUAGGGAGGAGUUCAGUGAACAGUUAAUACCGUUAUUAGUUGCACCUGUGUCGGACAUUUCAAAAUAAUCUGCUGUGAAAAGAGUUUUUUACCUUUUGUUUUCUCGUUAUAUGAGUAAUGUGUGCCCCCUGCAAUACCUCCGUGCCCCUCUAGAGGGCCCCACCUCACAGUUUGGGAACCACUGCUGUAAAUGAACCAGGUCAAUGUGUGUUUUAUUAUCAAACCUUGAUUCAUGACUGUUUUAAACUGGCCUGAAGAAGCAGUAUUUACUGGUGAGUCCUGUGUGGAAGUUGGCACAGCUUAUAUCUGAAUUUAUAACAUUUCUUUACUCGGUUAUAACCAGAAUAUAUUCUGGACAACCUGGAUGUUUAUUACCCCAUAAAUGAGAUUAAUAUGUAAAACUGGUUUCUUGUAAAUCUUCAAAGCCCCAUCGGUGUAAUUUAUGUUUCUGUACCGAAAUCUAAUGCUCUAAAAACAAGGUUGGUCAUAAAUAGGAAGAACCACCAAGAAUAAGCCCUCACAGUACACGUGGUGUGCAGGCCUUCACAGGAUAUCACAAUCUGCAUUUGUGUCUUUUUUAUUGUGACUUUGUAUUUGAUAUUGCUUUUCCACAGACAAUCAUGAGCUAGCGUAGAUACAUGAUGUUAAUAAUAUGCAGAGGGUUUUAUUGUGCUUUUCCAUGGCGGGUUCAACAACCCUUUGUGUCUCCCUUUUUAAAACAUGUCUUUGCUGUCAUUCUUAUUUGAUGCCGUCACCUACAGUGAUUUAAAAUGUGUGUUGUGUUUUGUUAAAGUAAACGUUAUGUUUUGUGUUGAAAUAAAGACUUUUUUCAUGUA